Long non-coding RNA from Papaver somniferum (opium poppy), 328 nucleotides. RefSeq lists it as uncharacterized. The transcript has 2 exons. The record is from RefSeq and is a predicted model, not a curated record. Lineage: Eukaryota; Viridiplantae; Streptophyta; Magnoliopsida; Ranunculales; Papaveraceae.
GGCGUGGCAGAUGAUUACCGAAGAAAACACAUUAUAGGGUAGAGUCAUGAAAGGAGAAUGGAAAGCAGCAGGCUAUAUACCGGCAGUAACUCAGGAUGCUGAAAAGGCCUAGGAACAAGAUGCUUUGGAGGGGAUCAAAUGGGCAGUUGCAAAUCAGGUUGUCAACCUUCAUCUGGAAGGAGAUUGUCUUAAAGUGGUGAAUGCAAUCAAUGAAAAGCAAGGAGCAAUAAAGUGGACAACAAAUAGUCUAAUCUAUGACUGUUUAGAACUUCUUAAGUUUUUUAAUAAAUGGGAAUGUUGUUAUGUCCCGAGAGAAACAAACGAGGUA